Molecule: transfer RNA, 70 nt
Filed under: marine eukaryotic metagenome
Rfam family: tRNA
About the family: Transfer RNA (tRNA) molecules are approximately 80 nucleotides in length. Their secondary structure includes four short double-helical elements and three loops (D, anti-codon, and T loops).
Source: RNAcentral
GCGGGGUAGCUCAGCGGUAGAGCAGGAGAAUCAUAAUCUCUUGGUCGGGGGUUCAAAUCCCUCUCCCGCC